This 283-nucleotide ribosomal RNA is filed under the name uncultured prokaryote. RNAcentral's name for it is "partial 16S ribosomal RNA". It matches the Rfam family "Bacterial small subunit ribosomal RNA", at positions 524 to 817 of the family's 1533-position model. The record is from RNAcentral.
UACGUAGGGGCGAGCGUUGUCCGGAAUGACUGGGCGUAAAGGGCGUGUAGGCGGCCGAUUAAGUCCGGAGUGAAAGUCCUGCUUUCAAGGUGGUAAUUGCUUUGGAAACUGGUAGGCUUGAGUGCGGAAGAGGUAAGUGGAAUUCCCAGUGUAGCGGUGAAAUGCGUAGAGAUUGGGAGGAACACCAGUGGCGAAGGCGACUUACUGGGCCGUAACUGACGCUGAGGCGCGAAAGCGUGGGGAGUAAACAGGAUUAGAUACCCUGGUAGUCCCUGAGCGGGCU